This is a long non-coding RNA of Bufo bufo (common toad), 285 nucleotides long. RefSeq lists it as uncharacterized. The record is from RefSeq and is a predicted model, not a curated record. The transcript has 3 exons. Lineage: Eukaryota; Metazoa; Chordata; Amphibia; Anura; Bufonidae.
AAUCACCUGCCCUUCUGCCAGUGCCCACCAAUCCUUGACGACCACUAAGGAAGCUACAACUGUCUCACCCAAGGAACUCCAUCCCUUCUAUGUUUCAGAUAUUAAACUUAUUUUUGGGAAGAUUCCUGCUGGAGCUGAAUCACCUUUACCCCGACAUAAGAACAUCUUUGAUCAGCUAUAUAUUUCCCCUUUGAUAUAUCAGAACUAAUUUUAUUUUGGCUGCAAUCACCUGUAGAAGAUUGAAUAGCUUUGAAUAUCUAUUGGUCAUACGCCUCUGUUGCUUGA